UGAGCCUGAGGCAGAAACUCUGUGCACU
Molecule: non-coding RNA, 28 nt
Filed under: Mus musculus (house mouse)
Lineage: Eukaryota; Metazoa; Chordata; Mammalia; Rodentia; Muridae
Source: RNAcentral